UUGAUAUUCACACUCCUGGGUCCAAAAUUCUCAACAAUCAGAGAUACUGUCAGAAUCAGUUAUUUUGUCAACAUCAUACAAAUUUUUAUGGACCUUGUAGGCUGAUAGGUUAUCUCAUAUUUUCUGCAUAUGUUCCUGUUGUCUGAGCUUCUGAUAUGCUGGUCUAGUUAGUUUCUUAGAUCUGUUGCAAAACUGCUGGGUGAAUAUUACCAAUAUAAUUGUGCAAGAAAAACUAUAUUUUGAUUUCCUAUCAAAAUUUGCGAGCAAUCUAAACGAUUCAUUCGAUUAGUUUUUUACAACCAUCUAAGAAAAUAGGCAUUGGCUCUGCUUGCUUUUCUGAGUUUGAGACUGAGUUCACAUUAAUCUAAAGUGAAGAUCAAUAAGUGGGAAUUUCAUGAGUUGUUUUCAGUUUUUCCCCCUAGUUUUGAACAUUUGAAAUCUUUGCAGAUGUCAACAUAAUAGCCCCUAAAUACAGGAUGCUAUGUGUUCUAUUG
RNAcentral lists this unclassified non-coding RNA (494 nucleotides) under Hevea brasiliensis (rubber tree). Lineage: Eukaryota; Viridiplantae; Streptophyta; Magnoliopsida; Malpighiales; Euphorbiaceae. The record is from RNAcentral.